Molecule: ribosomal RNA, 781 nt
Filed under: uncultured archaeon
Lineage: Archaea
Description: bacterial SSU rRNA
Rfam family: Archaeal small subunit ribosomal RNA
Source: RNAcentral
CCCCUUUGAAUGUCACCCCGGGAAACUGGGGCUAAUCCCAGAUAGAUGAAAACCCCUGGAAUGGGUUCUCGUCAAAAAGGCACCGCGGUUAUGCUCUGCGGUGUCGCUCAAGGAUGGGGCCGCGUCCGAUCAGGCUGUUGGUGAGGCAAUGGCUCACCAAACCUAUAACCGGUACGGGCCGUGGGAGCGGGAGCCCGGAGAUGGGAACUGAGACAAGGUCCCAGGCCCUACGGGGCGCAGCAGUUACGAAAACUUGUCAAUGCACGAAAGUGUGAACGGGCUACCCCGAGUGCCGUCCGCUGAGGAUGGCUUUUCUCUGCUGUAAGAAGGCGGAGGAAUAAGGCGAGGGCAAGUCUGGUGUCAGCCGCCGCGGUAAAACCAGCUCGCCGAGUGGUAGGGAUGAUUAUUGGGCCUAAAGCGUCCGUAGCCGGCCUUUCAAGUCUCUUGUUAAAUCCAACGAUUCAAUCGCUGGACUGCAGGAGAUACUGUUAGGCUAGGGGGCGGGAGAAGCCGACGGUAUUUUCGGGGUAGGGGUAAAAUCCUAUAAUCCCGGGAAGACCACCAGUGGCGUAGGCGGUCGGCUAGCACGCGCUCGACGGUGAGGGACGAAAGCUGGGGGAGCGAACCGGAUUAGAUACCCGGGUAGUCCCAGCUGUAAACGAUGCAGGCUAGGUGUUAGGGCGGCUACGUGCCGCUCUAGUGCCGCAGGGAAGCUGUUAAGCCUGCCGCCUGGGGAGUACGGCCGCAAGGCUGAAACUUAAAGGAAUUGGCGGGGGAGCAC